This 3174-nucleotide long non-coding RNA is filed under the name Marmota monax (woodchuck). The record is from RNAcentral. Lineage: Eukaryota; Metazoa; Chordata; Mammalia; Rodentia; Sciuridae.
UUUUUUUAAUUUUGGGGGUACCAGGGAUUGAACUCAGGACCCUUGACCCCUGAGCCCCAUCCCCAGCCCUAUUUUGCAUUUUAUUUAGAGACAGGGUCUCCCUGAGUUGCUUAGGGCCUCGCUUUGGCGGAGGCUGGCUUUGAACUCGCGAUCCUCCUGCCUCAGCCUCCCGAGCCACUGGGAUGACAGGUGAGCCCCAGUGCGCCCUGCCCGUCUCUGUCUCUCCACGAAGCACCCGGGGUCUGUUCUGAUGUGGGAGGUGAUCGCCCAGCACCCGCCUGUGGCUUCCUGCACUUCCUGUCCCAUGGGGUAGCACCCAGUGAGCCCUGGGCAUGACCAGGGAGUCAGGAGGUUCUGCAGAGGGUCAUCACAUCAUAGGGAAGGGACGGGUAAUAGGGUCACGGGGACCCGGGUGACACCACGUCAGAGGGGGCGGGACUGUGGCAGCCACCGGCAGAGGAACUGGGAACCUUGAUCUCAGUCGGAGCUCAGGAGGACAGGGGGGACGUGACCCUGGGGAUUAUGCACCUCAGAGGACUGUGCGGAAGAGAACUGGGGCUGAUAUUCUCAGCCUUAGGUGCCAUUAGAGUCCUGUGCAUGGGGACUCUGCAAACCUGGACCCCAGCUUAAGAAGAAAAAAAAAAGUGUGUUGUGGGAGGGUUUUGGGGGGCAGCCUUUACUGAAAUGCUCUGGCAUAAUGUUAGCCUUCAGGUAGGGUUUGAUCCAGGAGCUCCUGCGAGUAUCAUUGGAAAGGCAGGUGGGACCCGAGAGUGUGCAUUUCUCUCAGGCUUCAAAGGGACACCUGUGCUCCUGGUCCUUUGUGAGCUUCUAGAACCCCUUUGGAGGCCCUGGUUUGGCUGGUGACGAUGGAUAAAGGACAGAGAUGGCCAUCUGGACGAUGCUGCUGGCCAGGCCCUGUGGGGCUGGUCAAGGGGGUCCACUUGGGGUGUGGUGCAUGACCUUGGGCUGCCGAGAGCAUCUCCUGAGGGUCCUGAGGACGUUCUUGGGUGCCCAUGGGCAGCAGUCGGUGGACACCUGCACCUGGGGGGCGGUGGUGAGGGACGGUGGAUCCCCAGGUUGUGAGGGGUCAGACUCUGGGUCUGCGCUGGAGCCCUUGCAGGAAGGAACGCACCCGCCCUGCUGUUCCUCCCCCAGGGCGCUCGGAACAGACGAGAGGAGAGGAUUUCUCUAACAUUCUUGGAGGCUGGAGGCUGGAGGCCCGAGGUCCAGGGUGGGCAGGACUUGUUCUCUGGGGUGGACAGCGGUGGUCUGGCCGUGGGCAGGGGGUUGGUCUUUCUAUUGCUUGGGCUAUGAGAGCCCAAGAGCAUCCAGUCUUAAAUCAGGGACCCCGGGGCAGGAGGCCGCCAAUUGCUCUGUCUCCGUCCCUGGUCACACAGGAGAUGUCCCCCCUGAAGACCAGCUGCCGGCAUCUUUAAUUAGACAACCUGCAGCUUCGUCCCGUCCACCGCUGUGGGCACUUUGACAGACACGGGAGGGUCCAGGGAGGGUCCCCCCCAUUGGUCUUCUGAAAGGCAACCUGUGUUCAAUGCGCUGUUCUCCUACGGAGGACGGAGGCCCCCGGGGAGGCCGGACUCCAGCCUGGCCUCCGCCCUUGUCCAAGGAGGUUAAUGCACGUAAACCAAGAACACGUGGUGACAAUAAGAGGCUCUGUGGUUGCUGCCCAGGAGGGGAAGGGCCGGCGCCCAGGAGCCACCCACGCGACCAGAAAUCAUGGCUUAGGUGUGGGUGCGCACACGUGGGUGUGCAAGGGGUUAUUUGACUUAAUUGACGCCUUGGAACCCAUCGGCCUCAGUGGAAAGGUAUUCCCGAGCUAAUGACCCCUCUCCCGAGCUCUUAGCGGCUGCUAGACAAGAAGAAGCUCUCAUAUUUUAUGACUGCUUCAAGGUAAAGUGCAGUCCCUUCAAGGAAUUUGAUCCUGGCUUUUCGGGGGACAUUGGACACAGAUAAAGGUCACAGAGAGGGGCUUGUGCACGGAUUUUUUUUUUUUUUGGUGGUGCUGGGGAUUGAACCCAGGACUUUGUGCAUGCCAGGCAAGCCCUCUGCCACCCGAGCUCUGUCCCCAGCCCUCAAGCACAGAUAUUCUUUAGCGUGUCAAUGGAUUUGUAAUAUGUGCAUGAGUUCUUUUUUUUUUUUUUCAUUGCUAUAACAAAAUACCCGAGGCUGGCUACUUAUAAGGAAAACAGGUUUCUUCUUUUUUUUUUUUCUUUUUUUUCCUAUAUUUAUUUCAAACUCACAUGAACCUAAUCCUGCUCAAUGACCUGCCACCUCCUGCUAGGCCACACCUCUUCAAAGUCUUGCUACCUACCUGUCUGCAACGCCACCCCAGGAGACCUAACACUUGACCCUUUGAUGAUUGGCCAUUAUGUCCCAGGCAGAGGUGAGGGUCACCCUGGAGGGUCCUGUGUCUUCCAAUAUUUCCUGGCAGAUGAUCAAUCAACCCAUCCUGCACACGCUGUUGAGAAGUCCCUAGUUCCCCAAGCGGUUUUCCUGUGCAUUUCAUGGGUGGAGACGCUUUCUCUGGUCUCUCUGAUGCUGGGUUGGACCAAGAUUGAAAUUUUAAUAUUUUUUGCUUCAUCAUUUGUGCCCCGCGUUGGUUUGCACGUGAGGUGUCCCCCAAAAACUCAUGUGGGAGACGGUGCAAGAAGGUUCAGAGGUGGAAUAUUGGGUUAUGAGAGGUGUAGACUCAUAGUGGAUUAAUCCACUUGAAUGGACUCACGGGGUGGUGACUGCAGGCAGCUGGGAUGUGGCUGGAGGAGGGGGUCCCUGGGCUGUGCCUUUGGGGUCUCUCUCCUGUCCCUGGUGAGCAGAGCUCUCUCUGCUCCCUGGUGCCCUGUCCUGAGCUGCUCUCCUCCUCCAGGCCCUGCCGCCAUCUUGUUCUGCCUCCCCUUGGGCCAGAGCCAUGGAGUCGGCCACCAGGGACUGGACCUCAGAAACCAUGAGCCCAGAUCAACUUCCCUCCCAUAACUCAUUCUCGUCCCAUCCUGCUCCGCACACGGGGACUCCACAGUCACCCAACCCUGGGAAUCCCAGGGGAUUCCAUGUUGGACCCUAAAUCCUGUUUGGGACCCGCAUCUUCCCAGAGAGCCCUGGUGCCCUCUGAGAAAUCCUCCCUCACUGACCCACCGGAAGGAAAUUGUGUCCCCAGAGUCCUGC